GCCACUGUUGUAUGUGAGAAGUUGGGAAGGAUAUAAAAGGAAAUUUAAUGUUUAUCUAUAAUAAAUUAUUAAUCAUUGCUAAUGAAAAACGAUUCUGAGAGGAGCUUGGUUAAUAGUAUUGCUUUUUUAACAAUAUAUAAUAUGUCAUAUUACAGUAAAAUAAAUAUAUAUUGAAAAAAUUUGUAUGAACCAGUAACUAGAUUUGUUUAACAUACUUUUUUACUAA
Non-coding RNA from Cinara cedri, 226 nucleotides. The record is from the annotation of a GenBank genome assembly. NCBI's taxonomy places the organism in Eukaryota, Metazoa, Arthropoda, Insecta, Hemiptera, Aphididae.